This 253-nucleotide ribosomal RNA is filed under the name uncultured bacterium. Its description in RNAcentral is "partial 16S ribosomal RNA". It matches the Rfam family "Bacterial small subunit ribosomal RNA", at positions 524 to 776 of the family's 1533-position model. The record is from RNAcentral.
UACGUAGGGGGCUAGCGUUGUCCGGAAUCAUUGGGCGUAAAGCGCGUGUAGGCGGUCCUGUAAGUCCGCUGUGAAAGUCGGGGGCUCAACCCUCGGAUGCCGGUGGAUACUGUCGGGCUUGAGUACGGAAGAGGCGAGUGGAAUUCCUGGUGUAGCGGUGAAAUGCGCAGAUAUCAGGAGGAACACCAAUGGCGAAGGCAGCUCGCUGGGACGUUACUGACGCUGAGGAGCGAAAGCGUGGGGAGCGAACAGG